GUGACAUUAGCUAGUUGGUGGAGUAACGGCCCACCAAGGCGACGAUGUCUAGGGGCUCUGAGAGGAGAAUCCCCCACCACUGGUACUGAGACACGGACCAGACUCCUACGGGAGGCAGCAGUAAGGAAUAUUGGUCAAUGGGGGGAACCCUGAACCAGCCAUGCCGCGUGCAGGAAGACUGCCCUACGGGUUGUAAACUGCUUUUAUCGGGGAAUAAACCUCACUACGUGUAGUGAAUUGAAUGUACCCGAGGAAUAAGGAUCGGCUAACUCCGUGCCAGCAGCCGCGGUAAUACGGAGGAUCCAAGCGUUAUCCGGAUUUAUUGGGUUUAAAGGGUGCGUAGGCGGCACUUUAAGUCAGGGGUGAAAUACGGCAGCUUAACUGUCGCAGUGCCUUUGAUACUGAAGUGCUUGAAUGCGGAUGAAGACGGCGGAAUGAGACAAGUAGCGGUGAAAUGCAUAGAUAUGUCUCAGAACACCAAUUGCGAAGGCAGCUGUCUAAGCCGUAAUUGACGCUGAUGCACGAAAGCGUGGGGAUCGAACAGGAUUAGAUACCCUGGUAGUCCACGCCCUAAACGAUGAUGACUCGAUGUUUGCGAUAUACAGUAAGCGUCCAAGCGAAAGCGUUAAGUCAUCCACCUGGGGAGUACGCCCGCAAGGGUGAAACUCAAAGGAAUUGACGGGGGCCCGCACAAGCGGAGGAGCAUGUGGUUUAAUUCGAUGAUACGCGAGGAACCUUACCCGGGCUUGAAAGUUACUGAAGCAUCCAGAGACGGAUGCGUCCUUCGGGACAGGAAACUAGGUGCUGCAUGGCUGUCGUCAGCUCGUGCCGUGAGGUGUUGGGUUAAGUCCCGCAACGAGCGCAACCCCUAUGUCUAGUUGCCAGCACGUUAAGGUGGGGACUCUAGACAGACUGCCUGCGCAAGCAGUGAGGAAGGCGGGGACGACGUCAAGUCAUCAUGGCCCUUACGUCCGGGGCUACACACGUGCUACAAUGGACGGUACAGCGGGCAGCUACACAGCAAUGUGAUGCCAAUCUCGUAAAGCCGUUCACAGUUCGGAUCGGGGUCUGCAACUCGACCCCGUGAAGUGGAUUCGCUAGA
RNAcentral lists this ribosomal RNA (1102 nucleotides) under uncultured bacterium. RNAcentral's name for it is "bacterial SSU rRNA". It matches the Rfam family "Bacterial small subunit ribosomal RNA", at positions 235 to 1339 of the family's 1533-position model. The record is from RNAcentral.